Molecule: ribosomal RNA, 163 nt
Filed under: uncultured bacterium
Lineage: Bacteria
Description: partial 16S ribosomal RNA
Rfam family: Bacterial small subunit ribosomal RNA
Source: RNAcentral
UAGGGAAUCUUCCACAAUGGACGAAAGCCUGAUGGAGCAACGCCGCGUGUGUGAUGAAGGCUUUCGGGUCGUAAGCACUGUUGUAUGGGAAGAACAGCUAGAAUAGGAAAUGAUUUUAGUUUGACGGUACCAUACCAGAAAGGGACGGCUAAAUACGUGCCAG